Non-coding RNA from Triticum aestivum (bread wheat), 135 nucleotides. The record is from Rfam. NCBI's taxonomy places the organism in Eukaryota, Viridiplantae, Streptophyta, Magnoliopsida, Poales, Poaceae.
AAAGUACUCCCUCCAUCCCAAAAUUCUUGUCUUGGAUUUGUCUAGAUACGGAUGUAUCAAGUCACAUUUUAGUAUUAGAUACAUCCGUAUCUAGACAAAUCUAAGACAAGAAAUUUGGGCCAGUGGGAGUAGUUG